UACGUAGGGGGCUAGCGUUGUUCGGAAUUACUGGGCGUAAAGGGCGCGUAGGCGGUCCGAUAAGUCCGCUGUGAAAGUCAACGGCUCAACUGUUGGAUGCCGGUGGAUACUGUCGGGCUAGAGUACGGAAGGGGCAAGUGGAAUUCCUGGUGUAGCGGUGGAAUGCGCAGAUAUCAGGAGGAACACCUAUAGCGAAGGCAGCUUGCUGGGACGUUACUGACGCUAAGGCGCGAAAGCGUGGGGAGCGAACAGG
RNAcentral lists this ribosomal RNA (253 nucleotides) under uncultured bacterium. RNAcentral describes it as "partial 16S ribosomal RNA". It matches the Rfam family "Bacterial small subunit ribosomal RNA", at positions 524 to 776 of the family's 1533-position model. The record is from RNAcentral.